This is a long non-coding RNA of Apis laboriosa (Himalayan honeybee), 549 nucleotides long. RefSeq lists it as uncharacterized. The record is from RefSeq and is a predicted model, not a curated record. The transcript has 3 exons. Lineage: Eukaryota; Metazoa; Arthropoda; Insecta; Hymenoptera; Apidae.
AUUUUAUACUUAUAUUUUCAUUAAAAAUAAUUAAACUUGUGAAUUCUAUGUGAAUUAAAAUUUUAUAUUCACAUAAAAUAUUAUUAUAAGAAUUAAUUAUAUAUAAUUAUUAUAUUUAUAAUGGCAUUUUCCCGUAUACCUCGUCGUGAAGGUUAUAUAGUUGCAAUACUUGGUGCUAUCACUGGUUAUUAUAUUUGGAACCAACCAUUAAAACAAUUUGCUGAAAAGAAUUUCUCCAAUACAGACUUAAAUAAAGAUAUGUAUCAUGAUCAAAAAUAAAUUUUUUAUACAUCCUAUGAUCAAAAUAAGUUUUAUGAUAGCUGGUGUUCUAGGUUGUACUGCUAUUUAUAAAUUUUAUUUCAAACAAUAUGUUAAUUUUUUUGCAAAAAAACAAGUUGAAGAAGAAGCAAAUACAUUAUAUGAAAAACUUAGAGAAAAAGAAGCAAAACUAUCAAAAAUAGAAUAUAAUUAAAUGUAUUAUAAGAAGUUUGUAGAUAAUAUUUAAUGUAUGUAUUUAAUAAAUAAUACAUUCAAUAAUUAUAUAUUAUA